UGAGUGAAGAAGGAUUUCGGUUCGUAAAGCUCUGUUGUUAGGGAAGAAUGAUUGUGUAGUAACUAUACACAGUAGAGACGGUACCUAACCAGAAAGCCACGGCUAACUACGUGCCAGCAGCCGCGGUAAUACGUAGGUGGCAAGCGUUGUCCGGAAUUAUUGGGCGUAAAGCGCGCGCAGGUGGUUUAAUAAGUCUGAUGUGAAAGCCCACGGCUCAACCGUGGAGGGUCAUUGGAAACUGUUAAACUUGAGUGCAGGAGAGAAAAGUGGAAUUCCUAGU
Molecule: ribosomal RNA, 280 nt
Filed under: uncultured Gemella sp.
Lineage: Bacteria; Bacillati; Bacillota; Bacilli; Caryophanales; Gemellaceae
Description: partial 16S ribosomal RNA
Rfam family: Bacterial small subunit ribosomal RNA
Source: RNAcentral